CGCCUCUUGUACCCCUUAAAAUAAGAGGUCCCGCCUGCCCUGUGACUAUUAGUUUAACGGCCGCGGUAUUUUGACCGUGCGAAGGUAGCGCAAUCACUUGUCUUUUAAAUGAAGACCCGUAUGAAUGGCAUAACGAGGGCUUAGCUGUCUCCUCUUUCAAGUCAAUGAAAUUGAUCUUUCCGUGCAGAAGCGGGAAUAAACCCAUAAGACGAGAAGACCCUAUGGAGCUUUAGACACUAAGACAGCUUACGUUAAACACUCCCAAAAUAAAAGGAACAAACUAAAUAAGCUCUGCCCUAAUGUCUUUGGUUGGGGCGACCGCGGGGAAUUAAAUAACCCCCACGUGGAACGGGAGAACUCCUCCUUCAGCUAAGAGCUACAACUCUAAUAAACAGAAAUUCUAACCAACAAGAUCCGGCAAUGCCGAUCAACGGACCGAGUUACCCUAGGGAUAACAGCGCAAUCCUCUUUUAGAGCCCAUAUCGACAAGAGGGUUUACGACCUCGAUGUUGGAUCAGGACAUCCUAAUGGUGCAGCCGCUAUUAAGGGUUCGUUUGUUCAACGAUUAAAGUCCU
This 575-nucleotide ribosomal RNA is filed under the name Liparis montagui (Montagu's sea snail). Its description in RNAcentral is "partial 16S ribosomal RNA". It matches the Rfam family "Bacterial large subunit ribosomal RNA", at positions 1816 to 2597 of the family's 2925-position model. The record is from RNAcentral. Lineage: Eukaryota; Metazoa; Chordata; Actinopteri; Perciformes; Liparidae.